GGGCAAAUCUUGUAAUGAAUCAAGAUUUCCCUAAUGGUCGGGUGAAUGGGAAGCCUUAAGCCGGCCAGAAAAGCGGCUUCGUAAAACGCUACCUCGCCUUGGCGGGCUGAUAAAAUUGUCUCGCCAUCCCCAGGAAUCCGAAGUCGUACCCCUGAGGGAAAUGAAUAGGUAGAUCCGAGCUUGUCCAGUUCAGCCUGGGACAUGACGUUACCCUCCUUAGUAAGACUCGAGGUAUCCAUCUUUGGAGAAUUUUGUGGUAUCGGUGGAAAUGAGGGAGACUGGCUCGUCUUGUCGAUAUAAGACUUCGCCCCUAGAUGAUCGGAUAUCCAAGAAGGCAGGGAUUGCUC
This 347-nucleotide long non-coding RNA is filed under the name Actinidia chinensis (golden kiwifruit). RNAcentral's name for it is "long non-coding RNA (ACHI_LNC009305)". Lineage: Eukaryota; Viridiplantae; Streptophyta; Magnoliopsida; Ericales; Actinidiaceae. The record is from RNAcentral.